Long non-coding RNA from Mauremys mutica (yellowpond turtle), 654 nucleotides. RefSeq lists it as uncharacterized. The record is from RefSeq and is a predicted model, not a curated record. NCBI's taxonomy places the organism in Eukaryota, Metazoa, Chordata, Testudines, Geoemydidae. The transcript has 4 exons.
CCGUGAGAGCACAGGUCUUCCACAUGAAUGGCUCCUGACCUCAGCCUGCAAUGGAUCCACUGAGAUUAGUUAGAUAAAGGGGAAUCUGGCAAGUUUCUUGGUUGAACCCCCUACUUUGUUCACAGAGAGCAAAUUUUGUUGCUUUCUUGGAAGCAUUCAGAAGAACAUGGAGGGAAUUUAUUUAGGUUUUCCCUGCACGAUGAAGCAAUUGGGAUCCAUAAAAAUAAGAUGGGGAAACUGAAGUACAAGAAGUGACUUGCCUGAAGUCAUACAGCAAAGCAGGGCUAGCGCCAGGAAUUGAACUCAGGUCUCCUGUAUCCUAGUCCAGGACCCUGCCCACUAGGAUCACACCGACUCACUCUCCUUCCUUCUCCUGAGAUCUGGGCAGAGGGUCUUCCAUAGGCAGAUGUGAGCCCCUCCGUGGGCCCGAGUUGGCCAGGAUCAGGGAGAAACAGAUUUCCUCCCAGACAAGAGGGAAGGCAGCUAUCUACCUGCAUUCAAUGAAAUUAAGCAAGGUGUGAUCAAGAACAAUGAAAGCCCCAUUUACAUAUGAAUCAGCAUGAGGAUGGGAAGUCCACAGGAGAGCAGCAUGAGGUCACCCUGAGUCUGGGGACAAAACAAUGAGUUUGGAGAGAUAUAAAGAGAGAAAAGAAG